GAUGAACGCUGACAGAAUGCUUAACACAUGCAAGUCUUUGGCGAAUCUGUGCUUGCACUGGCUAGCCAAGGCGGACGGGUGAGUAACGCGUUAAGAACUUGCUCUGCAGACAGGGAUAACAGACUGAAACGACUGAUAACACCUGAUACAGUUGCCGGCACGCAUGUGCCUGGCAAUGAAAAGAGAUGCUGCAGGAGAGCUUUGCGUCCUAUUAGCUUGUUGGUGAGGUGACGGCUCACCAAGGCGAUGAUAGGUAGCCGGCCUGUGAGGGUGAACGGCCACCAGGGGACUGAGAUACGGCCCUUACUGCUGCGGGAGGCAGAAGGGGGGAAUAUUGGACGAUGGGGGCAACCCUGAUCCAGCAAUUCUGUGUGGACGAAGAAGCUUUUCGGAUUGUAAAGUGCUUUCAGUAGGGAAGAAGAAAGUGACGGUACCUGCAGAAGAAGCGACGGCUAAAUACGUG
This 463-nucleotide ribosomal RNA is filed under the name uncultured bacterium. RNAcentral's name for it is "partial 16S ribosomal RNA". It matches the Rfam family "Bacterial small subunit ribosomal RNA", at positions 28 to 507 of the family's 1533-position model. The record is from RNAcentral.